This 492-nucleotide ribosomal RNA is filed under the name Bacillus anthracis (anthrax bacterium). RNAcentral's name for it is "bacterial SSU rRNA". It matches the Rfam family "Bacterial small subunit ribosomal RNA", at positions 1 to 474 of the family's 1533-position model. Lineage: Bacteria; Bacillati; Bacillota; Bacilli; Caryophanales; Bacillaceae. The record is from RNAcentral.
UUUGGAGAAGUUUGAUCCUGGCUCAGGAUGAACGCUGGCGGCGUGCCUAAUACAUGCAAGUCGAGCGAAUGGAUUAAGAGCUUGCUCUUAUGAAGUUAGCGGCGGACGGGUGAGUAACACGUGGGUAACCUGCCCAUAAGACUGGGAUAACUCCGGGAAACCGGGGCUAAUACCGGAUAACAUUUUGAACCGCAUGGUUCGAAAUUGAAAGGCGGCUUCGGCUGUCACUUAUGGAUGGACCCGCGUCGCAUUAGCUAGUUGGUGAGGUAACGGCUCACCAAGGCAACGAUGCGUAGCCGACCUGAGAGGGUGAUCGGCCACACUGGGACUGAGACACGGCCCAGACUCCUACGGGAGGCAGCAGUAGGGAAUCUUCCGCAAUGGACGAAAGUCUGACGGAGCAACGCCGCGUGAGUGAUGAAGGCUUUCGGGUCGUAAAACUCUGUUGUUAGGGAAGAACAAGUGCUAGUUGAAUAAGCUGGCACCUCGACG